This 611-nucleotide ribosomal RNA is filed under the name Oryza sativa (Asian cultivated rice). RNAcentral's name for it is "eukaryotic LSU rRNA". The stretch from base 264 to 417 matches the Rfam family "5.8S ribosomal RNA". The record is from RNAcentral. Lineage: Eukaryota; Viridiplantae; Streptophyta; Magnoliopsida; Poales; Poaceae.
AAAAGAAAAAGAUAGAAAUAUAAAAAAGAAAUAAUGGUGUGUUAUUUUUUUUUUCCUAAAUAUAAUGAAAGAAAAGUUGAACAAGGUUCCGUGGUGACCAGCGAGUGAUCAUUCCGAGUUUCAACUCCCACACCCCUGUAACAUACCUAUCGUUCUUCGGCGGAUCCGCCCCGGCGCCCUUGGGCCCGGAUCAGGCGCCCGCCGGAGACCCCAAAAUCUAGUAUUUCUUUAGUAUCUUCUGAGUAAUCAAGCAAAUAAAUUAAAACUAUCAACAACGGAUCUAUUGGUUCUGGCAUCGAUGAAGAACGCAGAGAAAUGCGAUAAGUAAUGUGAAUUGCAGAAUUCCGUGAAUCAUCGAAUCUUUGAACGCACAUUGCGCCCGCCAGUAUUCUGGCGGGCAUGCCUGUUCGAGCGUCAUUUCAACCCUCAAGCCCCCGGGCUUGGUGUUGGGGCUCGGCCCGUCCCUCGUGGCGCGCUGUCCCCGAAAUACAGUGGCGGUCACGCUGUACUCCUCUGCGUAGUAAUCCAACCUCGCAAGGGGACAAAGCCUGGCCACGCCGUUAAACCCCCCACUUCCGAAGGUGACCUCGAUCAUGUAGGAUCCAAGUCCC